UGUUUGCGAAAACCAACGGAUAAGUUCAGGAAAUUAAUUUUAGAAUAAAAUCUAACCAUUCCCAGAUUUUAUCCAGAACAGUAAUGUUUCUUCCGAGUGGAGUAGUCUUACUAGUGUUAUUUGUGGGUUUGGCUUUCGCCAUUCCACAACUUACCGGAUCUGGUCUGGUACCGCUGGGUGGUUUGAUCCCCAGCAAUUCAGGUGACGCGACCCAUGUUCCCGAUAGUGCCCCUGCCUACAAUCCAGCUGGUCGUCGGAAACGGCAAGUUCGUGAAACCGACGCUCCAGUGGAUUCGAUUGUUGCAGCUGAAGGCAUAAUUAUGGCGCCCGCUCGGAAACGAUAGGAUUGAAACGAUUUUUGCCAAAUGUCGAAGCAGAGUUUGUGUCAGAUAAAAGGCGAGAACUUCAUCGGCUUGAUUUUAGGGCAUCUUCAGCAGUAUUUUCAAUAUUUCGAUAUGAAGUUAUUAGGUUAUAAGUUCUAAUUUGACGUCCAUUAAAAAGUAGUCCAAAACUUUACAAAAAAAGCAUAGAUGACUUAAAUGAAGCACGAGUCUCUCUUGUCUAGCCAGUAGAUACCGAGUAAAAAGUUUGUAUUUUGCAACUACAAUGAUUUCAUGAUUUCUGGAUUGUACCAAUUGUAUGAAAUUGUUGCGCAAGCGAUUUUUUUUGCAUUUGCAUAUAGCGCUGUAAUAAAGAGGUCAAAAAUGCGGUGUUGGUCCUAUUUUCCCAAUAGAAACAACAAAACUCUGAAAA
Molecule: long non-coding RNA, 753 nt
Organism: Topomyia yanbarensis
Lineage: Eukaryota; Metazoa; Arthropoda; Insecta; Diptera; Culicidae
Exons: 2
Source: RefSeq, a predicted model, not a curated record